GCAGUGGCUCAGUGGUAAAGCAUCUGCUUUACAUGCAGAAGACUGCAGGUUCAAUCCCUGUCAUCUCCA
This is a non-coding RNA of Euleptes europaea (tarantolino), 69 nucleotides long. Lineage: Eukaryota; Metazoa; Chordata; Lepidosauria; Squamata; Sphaerodactylidae. The record is from the annotation of a RefSeq genome assembly.